GCCUGACUAGCUCAAUGGUAGAGCGCUGCUGAAAAGCAGAGAUUGCGAGUUCGAAUCUCGUUUCCGGCC
RNAcentral lists this transfer RNA (69 nucleotides) under Candidatus Melainabacteria bacterium. It matches the Rfam family "tRNA". Rfam says of the family: Transfer RNA (tRNA) molecules are approximately 80 nucleotides in length. Lineage: Bacteria; Bacillati; Candidatus Melainabacteria. The record is from Rfam by way of RNAcentral.